RNAcentral lists this ribosomal RNA (513 nucleotides) under uncultured bacterium. Its description in RNAcentral is "partial 16S ribosomal RNA". It matches the Rfam family "Bacterial small subunit ribosomal RNA", at positions 28 to 523 of the family's 1533-position model. The record is from RNAcentral.
GAUGAACGCUGGCGGCGUGCCUAAUACAUGCAAGUCGAGCGAACAGACGAGGAGCUUGCUCCUCUGACGUUAGCGGCGGACGGGUGAGUAACACGUGGAUAACCUACCUAUAAGACUGGGAUAACUUCGGGAAACCGGAGCUAAUACCGGAUAAUAUAUUGAACCUCAUGGUUCAAUAGUGAAAGACGGUUUUGCUGUCACUUAUAGAUGGAUCCGCGCCGCAUUAGCUAGUUGGUAAGGUAACGGCUUACCAAGGCAACGAUGCGUAGCCGACCUGAGAGGGUGAUCGGCCACACUGGAACUGAGACACGGUCCAGACUCCUACGGGAGGCAGCGGUAGGGAAUCUUCCGCAAUGGGCGAACGCCUGACGGAGCAACGCCGCGUGAGUGAUGAAGGUCUUCGGAUCGUAAAACUCUGUUAUUAGGGAAGAACAAAUGUGUAAGUAACUAUGCACGUCUUGACGGUACCUAAUCAGAAAGCCACGGCUAACUACGUGCCAGCCGCCGCAGUAA